This 648-nucleotide ribosomal RNA is filed under the name Salmonella enterica subsp. enterica serovar Agona. Its description in RNAcentral is "partial 23S ribosomal RNA". It matches the Rfam family "Bacterial large subunit ribosomal RNA", at positions 898 to 1547 of the family's 2925-position model. Lineage: Bacteria; Pseudomonadati; Pseudomonadota; Gammaproteobacteria; Enterobacterales; Enterobacteriaceae. The record is from RNAcentral.
GGGGGUAGAGCACUGUUUCGGCUAGGGGGCCAUCCCGGCUUACCAACCCGAUGCAAACUGCGAAUACCGGAGAAUGUUAUCACGGGAGACACACGGCGGGUGCUAACGUCCGUCGUGAAGAGGGAAACAACCCAGACCGCCAGCUAAGGUCCCAAAGUCAUGGUUAAGUGGGAAACGAUGUGGGAAGGCCCAGACAGCCAGGAUGUUGGCUUAGAAGCAGCCAUCAUUUAAAGAAAGCGUAAUAGCUCACUGGUCGAGUCGGCCUGCGCGGAAGAUGUAACGGGGCUAAACCAUGCACCGAAGCUGCGGCAGCGACACUGUGUGUUGUUGGGUAGGGGAGCGUUCUGUAAGCCUGUGAAGGUGGCCUGUGAGGGUUGCUGGAGGUAUCAGAAGUGCGAAUGCUGACAUAAGUAACGAUAAAGCGGGUGAAAAGCCCGCUCGCCGGAAGACCAAGGGUUCCUGUCCAACGUUAAUCGGGGCAGGGUGAGUCGACCCCUAAGGCGAGGCCGAAAGGCGUAGUCGAUGGGAAACGGGUUAAUAUUCCCGUACUUGGUGUUACUGCGAAGGGGGGACGGAGAAGGCUAUGUUGGCCGGGCGACGGUUGUCCCGGUUUAAGCGUGUAGGUGUGUGUUCCAGGUAAAUCCGGUU